GUAUCCUGUCUGAAUAUGGGGGGACCAUCCUCCAAGGCUAAAUACUCCUGACUGACCGAUAGUGAACCAGUACCGUGAGGGAAAGGCGAAAAGAACCCCGGCGAGGGGAGUGAAAAAGAACCUGAAACCGUGUACGUACAAGCAGUGGGAGCCCCACCACUAAGCCAGUGGUGAACUCCACAUACGCAUCCUUUGCUGAGGAUACGGUUAACGGAGCGAAAGCGACGUUCAACCKCAAAAGAAGCAGAGGGGGCUUAGUGGUGGGGUGACUGCGUACCUUUUGUAUAAUGGGUCAGCGACUUAUAUUCUGUAGCAAGGUUAACCGUAUAGGGGAGCCGCAGGGAAACCGAGUCUUAACCGGGCGUUAAGUUGCAGGGUAUAGACCCGAAACCCGGUGAUCUAGCCAUGGGCAGGUUGAAGGUUGGGUAACACUAACUGGAGGACCGAACCGACUAAUGUUGAAAAAUUAGCGGAUGACCUGUGGCUGGGGGUGAAAGGCCAAUCAAACCGGGAGAUAGCUGGUUCUCCCCGAAAGCUAUUUAGGUAGCGCCUCGUGAAYUCAUCUCCGGGGGUAGAGCACUGUUUCGGCUAGGGGGCCAUCCCGGCUUACCAACCCGAUGCAAACUGCGAAUACCGGAGAAUGUUAUCACGGGAGACACACGGCGGGUGCUAACGUCCGUCGUGAAGAGGGAAACAACCCAGACCGCCAGCUAAGGUCCCAAAGUCAUGGUUAAGUGGGAAACGAUGUGGGAAGGCCCAGACAGCCAGGAUGUUGGCUUAGAAGCAGCCAUCAUUUAAAGAAAGCGUA
RNAcentral lists this ribosomal RNA (808 nucleotides) under Salmonella enterica. RNAcentral's name for it is "partial 23S ribosomal RNA". The record is from RNAcentral. Lineage: Bacteria; Pseudomonadati; Pseudomonadota; Gammaproteobacteria; Enterobacterales; Enterobacteriaceae.